This is a small nucleolar RNA of Cololabis saira (Pacific saury), 133 nucleotides long. RefSeq annotates it as small nucleolar RNA SNORA22. NCBI's taxonomy places the organism in Eukaryota, Metazoa, Chordata, Actinopteri, Beloniformes, Belonidae. The record is from RefSeq and is a predicted model, not a curated record. The transcript has a single exon.
UUGCACAGCGAACACCCAGGGAAGCUAGUGUGGCUCUCUCUGGAUUUGUGUCUGUGCUACAGUGACUCUGGUCUUUUCCUCUACAUAGGAGAGUUCAGUUUCUCCUACAUGUAUUCAGUUGAUCAGCACAAAC